RNAcentral lists this ribosomal RNA (347 nucleotides) under uncultured bacterium. RNAcentral's name for it is "bacterial SSU rRNA". It matches the Rfam family "Bacterial small subunit ribosomal RNA", at positions 1036 to 1383 of the family's 1533-position model. The record is from RNAcentral.
AGGUGCUGCAUGGCUGUCGUCAGCUCGUGUCGUGAGAUGUUGGGUUAAGUCCCGCAACGAGCGCAACCCUUGUCCUUAGUUGCCAUCAUUUAGUUGGGAACUCUAAGGAGACCGCCGGUGACAAACCGGAGGAAGGUGGGGAUGACGUCAAGUCAUCAUGGCCUUUAUGGCCAGGGCUACACACGUGCUACAAUGGCAGGUACAGAGGGAAGCCAACGCGCGAGCGGGAGCCAAUCCCAGAAAGCCUGUCGUAGUCCGGAUCGGAGUCUGCAACUCGACUCUGUGAAGUUGGAAUCGCUAGUAAUCGCAGAUCAGCAUUGCUGCGGUGAAUACGUUCCCGGGUCUUG